GGGUGGCGGACGGGUGAGUAACGCGUAAAGAACUUGCCUCACAGUUAGGGACAACAUUUGGAAACGAAUGCUAAUACCUGAUAUUAUGAUUUUAGGGCAUCCUAAGAUUAUGAAAGCUAUAUGCGCUGUGAGAGAGCUUUGCGUCCCAUUAGCUAGUUGGAGAGGUAACGGCUCACCAAGGCGAUGAUGGGUAGCCGGCCUGAGAGGGUGAACGGCCACAAGGGGACUGAGACACGGCCCUU
Molecule: ribosomal RNA, 242 nt
Filed under: uncultured bacterium
Lineage: Bacteria
Description: partial 16S ribosomal RNA
Rfam family: Bacterial small subunit ribosomal RNA
Source: RNAcentral